Molecule: ribosomal RNA, 501 nt
Filed under: uncultured bacterium
Lineage: Bacteria
Description: partial 16S ribosomal RNA
Rfam family: Bacterial small subunit ribosomal RNA
Source: RNAcentral
AUUGAACGCUGGCGGCAUGCCUUACACAUGCAAGUCGAACGGCAGCACGGGUGCUUGCACCUGGUGGCGAGUGGCGAACGGGUGAGUAAUAUAUCGGAACGUACCUUAUCGUGGGGGAUAACGCAGCGAAAGCUGUGCUAAUACCGCAUAAGCCCUAAGGGGGAAAGCAGGGGAGCGUAAGGCCUUGCGCGAUUAGAGCGGGCGAUACCGGAUUAGCUAGUGGGUGAGGUAAAGGCUCACCAAGGCAACGAUCAGUAGCUGGUCUGAGAGGACGAGCAGCCACACGGGGACUGAGACACGGACCAGACUCCUACGGGAGGCAGCAGUGGGGAAUUUUGGACAAUGGGGGCAACCCUGAUCCAGCAAUGCCGCGUGAGUGAAGAAGGCCUUCGGGUUGUAAAGCUCUUUUGUCAGGGAAGAAACAGCAGCUAUAAUACAGUAUGCGAAUGACGGUACCUGAAGAAUAAGCACCGGCUAACUACGUGCCAGCCGCCGCCGUAA